AAAUGGACUCUGAAUGCCAAGGUUCCUCUCAGCUCUCCGGUGCUGGGAUUCAGUGUAACUCUCCCUGAAUUCCUCCGCCAUCGUGUGAGCCAUUUAAAAAUGAUGGAUUCUUCCAGGAGGAGCGAUGUCUCUUUAACUAGAAUCGUCAAGGUUUGAAAACAUUUAGGAUCAUAUGAAAUUUUGGAUUACUUUGCUCUCCAGUAUCUGUCCUGAAGAGAUAAAUGUGACAGACGGCUGUUUAUUCUAUGAAAUGAAAAUGACAUCCCCGGCUGGGCGUGGUGACUCAAGUCUGUAAUCCCAGCACUUUGGG
Molecule: long non-coding RNA, 310 nt
Organism: Piliocolobus tephrosceles (Ugandan red Colobus)
Lineage: Eukaryota; Metazoa; Chordata; Mammalia; Primates; Cercopithecidae
Exons: 3
Source: RefSeq, a predicted model, not a curated record